This 84-nucleotide transfer RNA is filed under the name Sandaracinaceae bacterium. RNAcentral describes it as "tRNA-Leu". It matches the Rfam family "tRNA". From Rfam's summary of the family: Transfer RNA (tRNA) molecules are approximately 80 nucleotides in length. Their secondary structure includes four short double-helical elements and three loops (D, anti-codon, and T loops). Further hydrogen bonds mediate the characteristic L-shaped molecular structure. tRNAs have two regions of fundamental functional importance: the anti-codon, which is responsible for specific mRNA codon recognition, and the 3' end, to which the tRNAs corresponding amino acid is attached (by aminoacyl-tRNA synthetases). tRNAs cope with the degeneracy of the genetic code in two manners: having more than one tRNA (with a specific anti-codon) for a particular amino acid; and 'wobble' base-pairing, i.e. permitting non-standard base-pairing at the 3rd anti-codon position. Lineage: Bacteria; Pseudomonadati; Myxococcota; Polyangiales; Sandaracinaceae. The record is from RNAcentral.
GGCCGAGUGGCGGAAUGGCAGACGCGGCGGAUUCAAAAUCCGCUUUCUUCGGGAGUACCGGUUCGAGUCCGGCCUCGGCUACCA